This 462-nucleotide ribosomal RNA is filed under the name uncultured bacterium. RNAcentral's name for it is "bacterial SSU rRNA". It matches the Rfam family "Bacterial small subunit ribosomal RNA", at positions 338 to 795 of the family's 1533-position model. The record is from RNAcentral.
CCUACGGGCUGCACCAGGGAAUCUUCGGCAAUGGACGAAAGUCUGACCGAGCAACGCCGCGUGAGUGAAGAAGGUUUUCGGAUCGUAAAACUCUGUUGUUAGAGAAGAACAAGUAGGAGAGUAACUGCUCUUACCUUGACGGUAUCUAACCAGAAAGCCACGGCUAACUACGUGCCAGCAGCCGCGGUAAUACGUAGGUGGCAAGCGUUGUCCGGAUUUACUGGGCGUAAAGCGAGCGCAGGCGGUCUUUUAAGUCUGAUGUGAAAGCCCUCGGCUCAACCGAGGAAGGUCAUUGGAAACUGGAGGACUUGAGUGCAGAAGAGGAGAGUGGAAUUCCAUGUGUAGCGGUGAAAUGCGUAGAUAUAUGGAGGAACACCAGUGGCGAAGGCGACUCUCUGGUCUGUAACUGACGCUGAGGCUCGAAAGCGUGGGGAGCAAACAGGAUUAGAUACCCGAGUAGUC